RNAcentral lists this unclassified non-coding RNA (250 nucleotides) under fungal sp. RNAcentral's name for it is "partial internal transcribed spacer region". The stretch from base 1 to 46 matches the Rfam family "Eukaryotic small subunit ribosomal RNA", at positions 1786 to 1831 of the family's 1831-position model. The record is from RNAcentral. Lineage: Eukaryota; Fungi.
AAGUCGUAACAAGGUUUCCGUAGGUGAACCUGCGGAAGGAUCAUUAACUAUCCCCCCGCAAGGGGGCGCGGCCGCGGUGCGAUUCGUCGCCCCGCGGUGCCGUGUAGUCCUUGCCUUUUCGAGUACUGUUCGUUUCCUCGGCGGGUCCGCCCGCCAGCGAGGACGCAAAUCAAACCCUGAAGUUAGCCGUAUCAGUCUGAAAAACAAAACAAAUCUAUUAAAACUUUCAACAACGGAUCUCUUGGUUCUG